Molecule: transfer RNA, 68 nt
Filed under: Aleocharinae gen. sp. 1 ZMUN 10029193
Lineage: Eukaryota; Metazoa; Arthropoda; Insecta; Coleoptera; Staphylinidae
Description: tRNA-Leu
Source: RNAcentral
UUCUAAUUUGGCAGAAUAGUGCAAUGGAUUUAAGCCCCAUAUAUAAAAGUUACCCUUUUUUUUAGAAA